This 441-nucleotide ribosomal RNA is filed under the name uncultured bacterium. RNAcentral describes it as "partial 16S ribosomal RNA". It matches the Rfam family "Bacterial small subunit ribosomal RNA", at positions 338 to 795 of the family's 1533-position model. The record is from RNAcentral.
CCUACGGGGGGCAGCAGUAGGGAAUAUUGCUCAAUGGGGGAAACCCUGAUGCAGCGACGCCGCGUGGGUGAAGGAGCGUUUCGGCGCGUAAAGCCCUAUUGGCAGGGAAGAAGGAGGUCGGUACCUGACUAAGAUGCCCCGGCUAACUACGUACCAGCAGCCGCGGUACUUCGUAGGGGGCACGCGUUAUCCGGAUUUACUGGGUGUAAAGGGGGCGCAGACGGCAGCGCAAGCCAGGGGGGAAAGCCCGGGGCCCAACCCCGGGACUGCUCUUGGAACUGCGCGGCUGGAGUGCAGGAGGGGCAGGCGGAAUGCCUGGUGUAGCGGUGAAAUGCGUAGAUAUCAGGAGGAACACCGGUGGCGAAGGCGGCCUGCUGGACUGCGACUGACGUUGAGGCCCGAAAGCGUGGGGAGCAAACAGGAUUAGAUACCCUAGUAGUC